CCUACGGGUGGCAGCAGUGAGGAAUAUUGGUCAAUGGACGCAAGUCUGAACCAGCCAUGCCGCGUGCAGGAAGACGGCUCUAUGAGUUGUAAACUGCUUUUGUACGAGGGUAAACGCAGAUACGCGUAUCUGUCUGAAAGUAUCGUACGAAUAAGGAUCGGCCAACUCCGUGCCAGCAGCCGCGGCACUACGGAGGAUUCAAGCGUUAUCCGGAUUUAUUGGGUUUAAAGGGUGCGUAGGCGGUCGGAUAAGUUAGAGGUGAAAGCCCGGGGCUCAACUUCGGAAUGGCCUCUGAUACUGUUCGGCUAGAGGGUAGUUGCGGGAGGCGGAAUGUAUGGUGUAGCGGUGAAAUGCUUAGAGAUCAUACAGAACACCGAUUGCGAAGGCAGCUUACCAGGCUACUUCUGACGUUGAGGCACGAAAGCGUGGGGAGCAAACAGGAUUAGAUACCCGUGUAGUC
RNAcentral lists this ribosomal RNA (460 nucleotides) under uncultured bacterium. RNAcentral's name for it is "partial 16S ribosomal RNA". It matches the Rfam family "Bacterial small subunit ribosomal RNA", at positions 338 to 795 of the family's 1533-position model. The record is from RNAcentral.